GCCCCUCAGCCUUACUCCAGGGGCUUUUGCUGUAAAGUGCCUGGCAUUGCCUGGGGGUACAUGAAAGCGCACACGUCCCUCCCCAGGGAGACUCUGUUUUCUUGUGGGGCCUACGCGUUGAGCCAACAGU
Catagonus wagneri (Chacoan peccary) is the source of this 130-nucleotide small nucleolar RNA. Ensembl annotates it as small nucleolar RNA, H/ACA box 49. Its record names the gene SNORA49. Lineage: Eukaryota; Metazoa; Chordata; Mammalia; Artiodactyla; Tayassuidae. The record is from Ensembl.